UUGGGAAAUUAGGAGCUUCAGGUUUUUGCUUCUUUGUUUCUGUCUCCUUUGCCUUUUGGAUUUGUGAUUUAUAACACUAUAUUGGAAGUUUUUAGAACCAAAUUCAUGUUAAAUGUUGCCCAAGAUCGUACCUAUCUGAAUGAUAUAAAUGGAAUCCUGAGGCAGUUUGUUCUUCAGACUCCAGACGUCUGCAUACAGCUGGGGUGGUCAGUAUUAUAGCCAAAAUGGCCAAAAUGGGUGCUUUGGCUCUGUGCUGUCCAGAUCCCUUGGCACAUACUUGAGAUACCAUCUCAUAUUCACUUUGUACAAAGUUCAGUGUACUAGUCCCAUUUUAUGCAUAUAUGGGCGCCAUUAACUUACAAAAUGGACAAACAUAGCAUGGAAAGGCACUUGGAGAGAGAAGACUAGGCAAGUGAGUGGCUUCAACUUUGAAAGAACCAAGCCGCAUAUAAGGGUCUUGCCCUGCUUUGUGAACGCAGAGAUGCCUUUACUGGUGAAGUUGAAAGGAUACUAUAAUCACCUCAGUAUAAUUCAUUAGAGUAGAUUAAAUUAAAAUUUAGAUGAAAAUCAUGAUUUCUUAUUGAAAUGAUUUAAUUAGAUUAUAGUCCCUAAAGUUGAGUAAUUGAGUCUCAAGGCGACAAGGGACUUUAACAAGCCAUUAAAACUAUCCUUCUGUGUGGAGUUGGAUUAAGGAACCAACAGCAAGUCUGUUCAGGGACCUGGCAUCAGUCUCUAAGGAUACAAGAACGUUAUUUCAAGAAAUACAGGGCAGCUAACUCUGGCUUUCACAUACAACCCAUAUAAGAGUUCACAGGACAGUGGUGACGAUACUGAGUAGAAGACAAAGUCAUAACAUCACUGUACAUUUGAAUGGAGGGGAUUUAGAAACCAUCCACCCAGUGCAUGAAUUCCUCUCUACAACAUCACAGAUGUUGGGGAAAGACCUUUACAUACGUACCCUCAUCUAAAUCCAUUUGAAGGAUCGUAAACCAUUUUAAGGAUAAAGUAAUGAAACUUCCAUGGGGACCGAGAGCUACUUAGUUCUAUCUGAAACUAAAUACACUUCUCGUGGUGUCACCAGAAUCGGAUGUGUUUUCAGAUCUCCGGAUGAAGCUGCAUUUUUGACAAAGGUGAAGAACCACAAUGACCUUGCAAAGCGGAAAGGCCUGACCCAAUGAUUUUUUACUAAUCGCAACUUUACGAACAAAACUAAGCCGAGAACGGCCAAAUUCCAGAAAAUGUUCUUAAUGGACACUAACAGGAGCAAAAUGACAGGCAUAGAAAUGACAACAUGGAAUCCCAAAAUUCUGAAGCAGAGAACUAACAUCACAAAGCAACCAAGUAACCUGAAAUAUAAGAAGAGACAGGUCCCUCCAAAGAGAAAGGAAGUGAUCUCUGGCUCAGUUCUAAGAGAAUAUGUGGGGAAGAGAUGCUGAGCACCAUGCCAAGAAACACUGAGUUGGAAGCACUCAAAGUUUUCCAUUGUAAGAAAGCCAAGAAAAUGGAGACAAAACUGCCUCUUAGGCACAAAGAAGGACAAGAGCAGAAGAUGGAGAAGAGAUGUUAUGAAAACUCUCCAGCAACCCAGCCAUACCAUAUACAUAAGGUAAUUCUAGAAAGAUUUGCAAUGGGUUGUGCACAGAAGGUGAUCAUAGCAACAACACACAAAUACAAAACAGCUUACUCCUGACUACUUGGAUACACACUCCAACAUUUAUGACCUAGUAGAAAAACCUUGCCCAUUUCUGGACAUAACUUCUGUUUACUUCAGUCUUUACUGUUGAACAUAAAUGUGAACAUUUAUAAGAAAAAAAAAAUCUCCUGUUAAGAGACAAAGGAAUAAUC
Long non-coding RNA from Herpailurus yagouaroundi (jaguarundi), 1845 nucleotides. RefSeq lists it as uncharacterized. The record is from RefSeq and is a predicted model, not a curated record. The transcript has 8 exons. Lineage: Eukaryota; Metazoa; Chordata; Mammalia; Carnivora; Felidae.